AACGAACGCUGCGGCGCGUUUAAGCAUGCAAGUCGACGGUAAGGAGAGCUUGCUCUCCCCUAGAGUGCGGAUGGUGAGUAACGCGUGGGUGACCUGCCCUGAAGAUGGGGAUAGCUAGUAGAAAUAUUAGAUAAUACCGAAUGUGCUCAUUUACAUAAAGGUAAAUGAGGAAAGAGCUACGGCUCCGCUUCAGGACGGGCCCGCGUCCCAUUAGCUGGUUGGUGAGGUAAAGGCUCACCAAGGCAACGAUGGGUAUCCGGCCUGAGAGGGUGAACGGACACAUUGGGACUGAGAUACGGCCCAAACUCCUACGGGAGGCAGCAGCUAAGAAUCUUCCGCAAUGGACGAAAGUCUGACGGAGCGACGCCGUGUGAAUGAAGAAGGCCGAAAGGUUGUAAAAUUCUUUUGCAGAUGAAGAAUAAUCAUAGGAGGGAAUGCCUGUGAGAUGACGGUAAUCAUGCGAAUAAGCCCGGCUAAU
This 478-nucleotide ribosomal RNA is filed under the name Treponema denticola. RNAcentral describes it as "bacterial SSU rRNA". It matches the Rfam family "Bacterial small subunit ribosomal RNA", at positions 29 to 501 of the family's 1533-position model. The record is from RNAcentral. Lineage: Bacteria; Pseudomonadati; Spirochaetota; Spirochaetia; Treponematales; Treponemataceae.